RNAcentral lists this transfer RNA (73 nucleotides) under Rhipicephalus microplus (southern cattle tick). Its description in RNAcentral is "tRNA-Gln". It matches the Rfam family "tRNA". From Rfam's summary of the family: Transfer RNA (tRNA) molecules are approximately 80 nucleotides in length. Lineage: Eukaryota; Metazoa; Arthropoda; Arachnida; Ixodida; Ixodidae. The record is from Rfam by way of RNAcentral.
GGUCUCAUGGUGUAACGGUUAGCACUCUGGACUCUGAAUCCAGCGGAUCCGAGUUCAAAUCUCGGUGAGACCU